AGUGAACGCUGGCGGUAGGCCUAACACAUGCAAGUCGAACGGCAGCACAGUAAGAGCUUGCUCUUACGGGUGGCGAGUGGCGGACGGGUGAGGAAUACAUCGCAAUCUACUUUUUCUUGGGGGAUAACGUAGGGAAACUUACGCUAAUACCGCAUACGACCUACGGGUGAAAGCAGGGGAUCUUCGGACCUUGCGCGAUUGAAUGAGCCGAUGUCGGAUUAGCUAGUUGGCGGGGUAAAGGCCCACCAAGGCGACGAUCCGUAGCUGGUCUGAGAGGAUGAUCAGCCACACUGGAACUGAGACACGGUCCAGACUCCUACGGGAGGCAGCAGUGGGGAAUAUUGGACAAUGGGCGCAAGCCUGAUCCAGCCAUACCGCGUGGGUGAAGAAGGCCUUCGGGUUGUAAAGCCCUUUUGUUGGGAAAGAAAAGCAGCAGGUUAAUACCCCGCUGUUCUGACGGUACCCAAAGAAUAAGCACCGGCUAACUUCGUG
This 492-nucleotide ribosomal RNA is filed under the name uncultured bacterium. Its description in RNAcentral is "partial 16S ribosomal RNA". It matches the Rfam family "Bacterial small subunit ribosomal RNA", at positions 29 to 507 of the family's 1533-position model. The record is from RNAcentral.